Long non-coding RNA from Haliaeetus leucocephalus (bald eagle), 591 nucleotides. RefSeq lists it as uncharacterized. The transcript has 3 exons. NCBI's taxonomy places the organism in Eukaryota, Metazoa, Chordata, Aves, Accipitriformes, Accipitridae. The record is from RefSeq and is a predicted model, not a curated record.
AGACCAGGUGCCGGACUUUGUUGUGGUCACAUCUCUAUUGCAUACACACAGAGAAAAACCUCUACAAAAAUGUUAUUUCCAGCCUCUGCAACUUUCUUGAAAGUCUAGCAAUCAAUAACAUAUUAAAGCCCAGGCUGCUCUUUUUAAAACAUUGCACGAAAGCCUCAGGGACUGGAUGGAAUCUACACCAGAAAGUGUUUGGGAUUAAGUGGGGUUUCUACUGAGAAAAGACAGCUCUUCCCAGGAAAAUGAUAUAAAAAACUCACAGCAGUGACCUCUUCACUCUUAGCGCAGUACAGAUCUCUUCAGCUUCUCAACACUCACACUCCCCCACAGCUAUGCUUCCCAGGCAGAAAGCAGCAUAAUCCCUAACUAAGCAAAACCUCUUCUGUUUGUUAACUAAUUGCCUUUCAUACAGCUAUCUGAGUUAGAAAUCUGCCCGUAUUUUACUACAAAAGCAGAACGCUCCUACAAGAUAGUGAUUACCAGAGGCGGCAGAAAAAAGAGCACUGGAAAGAAACAAGACUGCUAUGUUUCUUCUAUGUAUUCUCCAAGGUGCUUAUGUCAAAAUCCUCUUCCAGGACAACUGAU